ACGGGAGGCAGCAGUGGGGAAUAUUGGGCAAUGGGCGGAAGCCUGACCCAGCGACGCCGCGUGAGGGAAGAAGAUCUUCGGAUUGUAAACCUCUUUCAGCAGGGAAGAAGCAAGUGACGGUACCUGCAGAAGAAGCCACGGCUAACUACGUGCCAGCAGGCGCGGUAAUACGUAGGUGGCGAGCGUUAUCCGGAAUUACUGGGUGUAAAGGGUGUGUAGGCGGGGAGGCAAGUCGGGCGUGAAAAUCAUGGGCUCAACCCAUGACUUGCGCUUGAAACUGUUUUUCUUGAGUGUGGGAGAGGUAAGUGGAAUUCCCAGUGUAGCGGUGAAAUGCGUAGAUAUUAGGAGGAACACCAGUGGCGAAGGCGGCUUACUGGACGAUAACUGACGUUGAGGCUCGAAAGCGUGGAGAGCAAACAGGAUUAGAUACCCUGGUA
This 437-nucleotide ribosomal RNA is filed under the name uncultured Oscillospiraceae bacterium. RNAcentral's name for it is "partial 16S ribosomal RNA". It matches the Rfam family "Bacterial small subunit ribosomal RNA", at positions 341 to 792 of the family's 1533-position model. The record is from RNAcentral. Lineage: Bacteria; Bacillati; Bacillota; Clostridia; Eubacteriales; Oscillospiraceae.